This 1373-nucleotide long non-coding RNA is filed under the name Monodelphis domestica (gray short-tailed opossum). RNAcentral describes it as "lncRNA (ENSMODG00000049898.1)". The record is from RNAcentral. Lineage: Eukaryota; Metazoa; Chordata; Mammalia; Didelphimorphia; Didelphidae.
GGGCACUUAGUGACUUGCCCAUUGGUCACACAGCUAGGAAGGGUCUGAAGUUGGAUUUGAACUCAGGGCCUCCAUCUUGAGGUCUGACUUUCUAUCCACUAAGCCAUCUAUCUUUCUCUUCUGUUUGUCUUUCAAAGUCCUUCAGAACCUGUUUCUUUUUAACUUUUUACACUUUGCUCUCUACCCUCAGUUCCUCAGCCAUGUACUUUGCAAUCCAGACAUUGGCCUCCUAGAUUUCUAACUGUAGUCUCUUCUUUUGACACACAAUUCUCUAUGCGCCUUUUUUUUCUUUUUGCAGAGGUAUUGGGGACUGGAGAAAAGGAGUACUUCGUUGUCUUGUUGGUUAUAUGAUUAUUAUCAAGGAAGAACACCAACAACUCUUUAUUGGCACCAGAGCCAUUUCCAAAUCAGCUCUCUGUGUGCUGUCCAAAUACCAGUGCAUUACAAAUUUGAUCAAAGCUUUUGCAUGCCACAGUCAAACAGAGGGAGAAAAUGGUGAGUAUACUUUCAUGCCGUUGACUUCUAACCCAAGGUCUCGUAACUGUUCCUUGUAACAUGACACAUGCAUGAGGUAAUGUUGGGAGAGGAAGUCAGAGGCAGGAGGAUAGAGGUUAUCCAACUGUUUGACCCUAUGACAGAGCCCAGGCUCAGGAACUCUCCGGCCACAUCGCAUAGUCCAGAAGAGUUGGUAUUCCCAAUGUUCCUUGGAGUCAUUCUUGAUGAAAUUAUAUGAAUGAAACAAGUAAGUUUUUGCAGGCAGUUUCCUACAGUGGACCACAUCUUUAUAGUCAUGUUACUUUGAGACAGGGAUAGAAAAUUCACAAGCCCAGGAUCAGAGCACAGUUUCCUUAUUGGCUACACAAAACAAGCUUCUGACUCAGUAGAGUUUUCUUCCAUCCAAGAUGGCACCCAUGCCUCCAGGGAGACCAACCAAAUUACAGGAGUAUAAAGGAAGAGUUGUGCUGUAGAGGUCCAGCUCAUACAUAUAAUUCUCACAGGGGUUUGAAUCGCCUGUGGGGGGAGGUUGGAAGCUGGAAAGCAAUGUGUUAAGCUUAUAGGCUAGAGAGAAUGAGACAUAGAAGGGAGAGAGAGGGGGGGGGAGAGAGGGAGAGAGGGAGAGAGAGAGAGAGAGAGAGAGAGAGAGAGAGGUAACACAACAACAAAACUUUAGCAUGGUCUCAGCAUGUCAGCAGGCCAGCUCUUCCUCCUCAGAAUUUAUUAAUUCUUGGGGGCAGCUGGGUAGCUCAGUGGAUUAAGAGCCAGUCCUAGAGAUGGGAGGUCCUAGGUUCAAAUCUGGCCUCAGCCACUUCCUAGCUGUGUGACCCUGGGCAAGUCACUUGACCCCCAUUGCCAUAGCCCUUACCACUCUUCUG